UUCUUAUCCAAACUGAUCGUGAGUUAUGGGGACAAGAUGCACAUGAAUUUAAUCCAAAUAGAUUUUCAGAAGGUGUUUCUAAAGCAACAAAAAAUCCAUGUGCUUAUGUACCAUUUGGUUGGGGUCCUAGAAUAUGCAUAGGACUAAACUUUGCCAUGAUUGAAGCAAAAAUGGCAUUAUCAAUGAUCCUACAACGCUUCUCAUUUCAGCUUUCUCCAUCAUACACACACACUCCUAUUGCAGGUUUAACAACACAACCUCAACAUGGAGCUCAUAUCAUACUACACAAACUCUAGCUACCUUCUUAAACUAUGUACUAACUUGCACAAUUAUCAUAGUUAAGAAUAGGAAUGUUUGCUAUUUUUGCUUGUAAUUUCCAAUACUUUGCGAAAAAGUUAGCUACACAUGUUCUAGAUAUAUUUUCCUUUCAACUAAAUUCUCUUUUUCAUUUUUCACUAGCUCUUAAAUAAACAAUUUUCAAGAUAAUAGCAUCUACUCCUUUUUCAGCUCGGGAUGAUUAAUUAAUCCUUGUAAUUGUACCAUUUUUGUCUAAUAUGAAGAAAAAAUCUCAAUAGUCAUAAAUAAUUAGUUCAUUAUUCAACAUGGUGAAGUUUACGCCCUGAAACUGACCUUUUUUUUUUUUGCUCAUAGUUAUUUUUCUGCAAUGAGCUUCUCAGCAACAUUCUACUAAACUUCUACCAUAAAAAAAACAUACAACACAACAAACAAAUAUUCCAAAUGAGAUUAUGAAACUAUACCCACAAACUGUAAUACUCAUUACAUAUAAAUUCAAGAAGAGGGUGUAAUUCUUGGAAACAACGUGUAACUACAACUACAUUAUUAAUUUGGACUAAGUCUUUUUUAUUGAGCUCAUACUUGCAAAAGCAAACAAGAAUAGAGGUCAUGGAAGUCUUUGUACACUACUACAAAACUGGUUUUACUUGACACUUAAAACCGGACAAUGUUCUUAUUAUAUUCAGUAGGCUUUUUAUAAUAUGAUCCCUUACGUAGAUGUCCUAGUUAAUAUGAGUAAUGCAAUACCUUUUCAAUCAGAUUCAUAAAAGACAACACAUUUGCAAUGUCGUAUAGCCGCCUUACGUUAGUUGUAUAUAAUAAAAGAUGUAAUUAUCAAGCAUUUCCCCGUUCACAUUCUAAAAUUAAUAUCAAAGUUCAAGAUUUCUUACUUCUCAUUAUUAAUGAAUUGUAGUCAUCUCCUAAUAAAAGCUUAGCAACUUUGUCAAGGGAAAUCAUAUUCACCUAUAAACCCAAUUUCUAUUAGUUAACGGAAAUCGCAAAGAGGCUCAUCAACAAACAGUAAACGAUAAGGUGGUUCAAUUUUUCACUCACAUGACUGCAGAUAAAUAGCUUAACAAUUUCCAAAUUUUGUCUGCAGAUACUAAUAGAAAGUGUAAGGGAAUCUCAUUGUGGGGGGCUACCCAAUUUUAUCUAGCACAACAAACAUAAAAGUUGGAAAUUGAACUACAACCAUACAAAAUGUUGUCCAAAGACAGUUGCAGUUGAGGUCUGGCUGCCAGUUGGAUUGGAAAAUCUUUCAUCCUCAUCUUCAUCAUAUCCAAGACCUAAAUGUGACCAAAUGCAGGACAAGGAAUGGUCAAAUUCCAACCCAUAUACAUGCAACAAAUGGGAAGAAAUGAGGAAAUUUGAACUAAAAAAGGAAAAAUAAACUGGCUUACUUUUGCAUAAUAGUUACCAUCAGAUGCCCAGCAAUUCUCCCUCAAUCCCUCUUCCUAUCAAAUAAUUCAAAACAAAUUACGCCAUUUCCAUAACCCCAAAUGGAGAAAACAGCUGAAAUGAAAUCAGUCCCAACUUUAUUUCUCCCUAGGAAAUUUAUACCGUAAAUAAGAAAGAUAAGUUUAUAAAUAAUCCAAUUUGACCACAGUAAAUAAGGAAGAUAAGUAGGACCUAAACUUAAUUUUUGUGUAUAAUUGAAUUAGUCACAUUUAAGCUAUGUAGACAGACCAUACCCACAAGGCAACCAAGUCUAACCCUAACGAGAUCCACAAACCAACAAGUACAAAUACUGGUUGCUAUUUGCUUGAAUAUUGUAUACAACCAAAAUGUAUAGAACACAAUGACACCUUGGCAAUGAAUUAUUAAAUAAUUAAGACAUUACAAAUAUAUAAUUGCCUCUUAAAAAAACAAAAAAUUAAUCACCUUUAUUAGUAAAAAAAAAAUGUAAUUAAGCUAAUCAAAGAAUAAUUCCAAACACACCACUGUCCCUUUUCUUUAUACUAAAAAACAGAAUCUAAUUAUACAAAAAUUCAAUAUUAAUCAAAGUCUAAAUUAUUAAAAUUACAAAGGAGCACAAAAGUCCCUAAGUUUUAUUUAUAUAUUACAGCAAAUAAUAGUCAAUACAUCUCUAUAUAGUUGAAGAAACUAGAACACAAGACAAAAAACAAAAAACAGAGCAUCAAUGAAAGAACUUAAAAACAAAAAUCAAAAUUCAAUAUCUUCAUUUCCAUCUAGGAUAAUGAUUCUCCUUCUUGCUGUUCUUAAAAGCGCAGCAUCAAAAUGGAGUAAACAAUGAUGAGAAACACAAGUAUAACAAUAUUAGUGAUCGCCACCUUCUUCCAGUUCCUCUUCAAAUUAUCCAACACUCCACCUCAACAAAGCCAUUAACUGUCAAUCUUAAUACAAAGAACAACCACUUCACCAAAAAUUGAAGAUGCAUCUUCACCAACACCUAAGAUAAUUUACAGAAAAAGAAUCGACUUAUCCUCAAGGAAAAGAAAUAUUAGUGAACAAAUAAACUGUCAGCGGUAGUAAAAAGAAAAGAAAUAGCUUAAUAACAUUCAAUGUACCUGGUAAAAAAAUUAUACACACAACUAAAGUAUCAUGGGAGACAACUGUACAAAUAUAAUCUACUCAAACUUGAAACAAAUCAAUUCAAUCUGAGUGUUCAUUUCCUACAACGUGGAUAUCAGUAUAUACCUAAUACACAAAGUUCUUAGUAAGCGCACCACAACAAAGGAUCUAGAGAUAAUGUUGUUGUAAUUUAUGUCCUAAAACUCUUGUAAAUAUAAUUCAUUAACCGUUUUAAUAAAAUGUUAUUAAUGUAAUAAUUGUUAUUAAUUAUGUUAUUAGUUUUGUUUUAAUGACUCAAAUUCAAUAAAUUAAUAUUCUAAGCUGUAUAAUGAGUUUUGAACAUAUUUAGAGACAUACAAUGAUCAAUGUUCGAGAUCAGCUUAAAGGAUUUACAGUAUAGAGAUAAGGAUGAGUACCUUAUCCUGGUAACACAAUGGAUAUGACGAUUUGUAUGGGUGAGAGUCGUCAAAUCGCCGACUUAAUAAGCUUAUCAUUUUGGGGACAAGACCGAGUGGGGAGCUGGGAACAUAAUUACACAAGAUAGAAUUCACUCAUUCCCUAUUUUAAGGUAAGUAAAUGGGUGUUCCCUUAAAUGAUGUCUCCAGGUCUUGAACAAAGAACCCUACCCUCUCUAUGGAACAAGAGAAAUUUUUGUUUAUUGGUAGAACCAUAAACAAGUUGUUCAUUGGAGAAACACUAAUAUUUAAGGAUUAGAGGUAACCUAGGGGUAAAACAGUAAAUUGACACAGCUGGUGUUAUGAACACUCGUGAAGGACUAACUUAUUGUUAUUGGUCUAUAUCCGUGGACACAAAAAUAUAUCUAAAGUGAGAAGAAAACAAUUUUCUUUAACUUAAACCAACAAAAUUCAUUAAGAAAAAAUCUCUCAAAUAUCUUUAAACAUUUUCCUUUCCAAUUGGUUUCUACAAACCAAUCUCGUCCCAGAUGAUAGGAAGGUCUCCGACGGGUGGUGUCCCUAGUGAUUUGUAGAUAGAGAGACGUCAUCGAAAGUAAGUUCUAUGAAUCUUUUAAUUUAAAGGCAUGCUUAGUUUUUAUUUAGAAUUUUGAUUCUAAAAUUUUGUCAAUGUACUGCUAUUUUAACAUUCUCAAAUUAGUUUGGGAAACGGUUCUUUAAAUUCUUCUGUUACGUAGGGUUUUUAUCCCUUCAAUAUAUAUGUCAAUAUAAGUCUUCUUAUUUUGUUGAAAAAAUACGAAAACACCUAAAAAAAAUAUGGAUUCUUGAUUUUCUUGAUGGGUAAAGUUUUCUUAGUUUCGUUGAUGGCCCACAAACAUCAAGAAAACUAUUUCUUGAUGGAUAAUAAACAUCAAGAAUAACAUAUUAAUUAGUUGAUUAACAAUGCCCAUCAGAUUAAUUAGGUUUUCUUGAUGGAUGAGGCCCAUCAAUGAAUGAAUUUUCUUGAUUUGCAAUGGCCAUCAUCGAAAAAAAAUAAUAUAUUUGUUUUGGAUUUCUUGAUGGGUUUAGAAUUUUCUUGAUGAAUCUAGGAUUUCUUGAUGCACAAAAACAAAAAACAGAUCAUCAACAAGGUCCAUUAAGAAAAAUGAUAUCUUAAUGGACAUCGUAACCAGUGGUGUUCAUUCUAUUUUCUAAUAUUUUGUCUAUUCGUUGGUCUACAUACUUAAUUUGGGUGAUUUUCAUAAGGAUAACACAGGAAUGAAAGAUGAAUUAGGAUUGGAAAAUGCUCAAAAAAAAUGGUCUUUCUUUAAUGUCAACCAUGUAUGAAUGUACCCAUUUCUUGUUUACUCCUCUCACUCCUCAUUCCAUCCUCUUAUUUCUUACUCACGUUCCUCGUCAACAUAGCAUUAAACCACUUUUGAAUUUUCUUUUCCAUAGUUGAUUCUAACAGAAAGAGGAGAAGAAAAAAAAAGUGAAAACGAAAAAGACAGGAAGAUAUGUUAGAGUCUAAGGAUGAUAGCUAUUAGAUUCAAAGUAUUAACAUAAAUGGUAACAUUUUGCAAAAAAAUAUUACAAAUAUAACAAAAUAUGUUAGAGUCUAAAAGUCUAUCAACAACUUUGAUAUAUUUGCAAUUUUUAAAAGUGUUAUUAUACAUUUCAUAAUUAUCUCUAAAAUUGCUACAUGAACACUAUUAUAUGUGUGAUGUCGAUCGAUCGGUGAGUCUAAAAUCUCAUUGUACCUACUCUUAUAGAAUAAAUAGUCAAAUUUUGCAUGUGUCAAAACUGAUACUGAUGACACCCAUUUGGUUGGUUUUAGUAAACCAGAACGAAUUUUGGGCCCACCCAUGUUUGAGAGUUAGGUUGUAUAUAAUUGAGUUGAAUUGGAUUAAUGAUAUUUGUUGCAUUUAUUUAUGACCUAAAUUGUUUUUGUAUUAGUUAUCUUUGUUUACUUAACCUUUUACAUAACUAUUAAUUAUCCAUUAUGCUUAUAAUAUACAUAUAGCCACGUGUCACCUUUCCUCACAUCCAACUUCUAUGUCAUAUCUUGACUAUGUAAUCCACGUCAUGGUUAUCAAAUUGUUUAUAAAUAGAGACAUUUAGUGAGUUUUGAAGAAUACACAUAUCGGUGAAAUGUCCAAAGAAACGAAAGAAAGUGGACUUUGUGGAGAUUUUAGUUUGAGAUUUUCUAAUUUCUAACAUUUCUUUAAUUUUUAUUUUCUUUCUUUAUUUUAUUUAGAUUUUUUUUUAAAAAAAGUAAAUUUUAUAAAAUAAUUAACAGUUAUAACAAAUUCUAUGCUGAUAGUCGUUGAUAUGCUAUAUUAGUAGAAUCCAAAAAUUUACUAACUUAUGUAUAUUUUAUUUUAUUUUAUUAUUUUUAAAAAUGUUUCAUUUAUUUUAAUAUUAUAUAUUUUCAAUUUUUGUAUUUUGGCUAUGCCUUAUUUUUACACAAGAAACUAUUGCUUAAAUGAAACUACCAUAUAUAUUUGCUUUCAUAUGAAUUUUAGAAGCAAAAGUAGUAUUUGAUAUUUCAUAUUAUGUUGAAAAAAUAAGAAUAGGUUUUCAAUAAUUUAGUUGACGAAGACCCCACCAAAAUGAUAUUUUUCAAAAAUACUAUUAACCGUCAAAAUAUCAAUGUGUGGACUAUAUAAUAUAUCUUUCAAUAAUUCAAUUAAUGAUUGUCCUAUCUAAUUACGACGAAUUACAAAGGUUACGUAAAUGACAUGACUACUUCCUUCUAUCAAUUUUUCUUGGACCUCAAGAAUAAACAUAUAUAUAAUAUAUAGACUUUCUUUUUUGUUUUUGAAAAAAUCUAAAUUUGUAUCUAUUUCAACAAGUAUAGAACAAUAAUAUUCUUGGACUUCAAGUAAACUAUUUUUGUGACUUAUUACGUGGAAUUGAUUUAAGAAAAAAAAUACUUUUGUUUCCAUUUUUUAAAUUAAAUAUUUUAAAAUAUAUUCCAAACACACUUUUAAUAAUAAUCAUUGCUGAAAAAAAAUGUACCUAAGCUCUCUAUAAUUUAUUAUUGAUUGAAAGCAUGGUGUUGAAGGUUUGAACCUACAUUUUAAGUAUCUAAAAACAUAUUUUUUCUUUUUGUUUUUUUCUAUAGUAUUAACAAAUAAAAGAAAAGUAAUGAACAUCAUUUAAACUUCAGAGACAAAAUAUAAAAUAUAUAUCAGUAGUAGGUUCAGAUUGGCUUCUAAAUCAACUUAGUACAUUCAAAAAGUCAUAAAAUUAUUAUAAUUUAAGUAGUCAAAUCAUUGUUCGAAUUUAGUGAUGAUUUAAUUUAAGAUUUUAUAAAUAUCUGGAAAUAAAAAAUGUCUAGAAAAUAUGCAUGAUGUAUGAAAAUAAAAAAAAAAAUGAUUAUGUUUGGUUGUCGUGAAAAGUGCUAUGGAAAUUUUAUAAAAAAAAAUGUGUUCUGUAUUUUAUUGUUAAAAGUUGAGUAAUUAAGUAAUUAAUAAUUAAAAUUAACCAAAAAUCAAAGUAAUUGUCCAAUUAAUAUAUUUUAAUGAAAGUGUUACUAAUUAAUAAAUUGUGGAUGAAAAUGUUAUUAACUUUUCCUAAGAGUAAUUAAUGUCUGUUAUUUUUGUUGUUGUUGGACAUAAAUAAAUGAUAUUUUAUCUAAAUUGUUUGAUUCCUUAAAAAAAAAACCUGACAAAUUGUAUGCAAUAAUAAAGUAUUAAAUCAUCCAAAUUUAAUUUUCAAUAAUUUGAUUCUAAAGUUUAUGUCACUGAAUUUUCAAAUUCAAUCAGUUAGGGUAAUUAUUUUCUACGCAUGGUAGCCGUUUUUCCUUUUUAAAAAACUCUUAAUUUUUAUUAUAUAUAUAUAGUGAUAAAAAUUGCAAAGAUUUUGGAGUUAUAAAUAGAAGAAUAGAAACGUUAGAGAACUCUAUACCCAAUCUUAUUGUUUCUUCAAUUAUUGAGAUUUCAAAGAUGUGGUAUGCUCCCGAUACAAUAAUAAGUAUUGUUUUAGUGUUAUUAUUAUUAUUGGGAUGGAAAUUAGCUGAUUGGAUUUGGUUCCGCCCCAAGAAAUUAGAGAAGCUUUUAAGACAGCAAGGAUUCGCCGGAAAUUCUUACCGGAUUCUCCACGGCGACUUGAAGGAGAGAGCCGCCAUGAGAGAAGAAGCAAUGUCCAAGCCCAUGAACUUCUCCAACCAUAUUGCUCCACGUGUCAUUCCCUCUAUCUAUCAUACCAUCCAACGUUAUGGUAACACUUUUAUUCCCUAUUUUUCCUUCUCAUAUAUCCUUUUCUUCUUCUUCUUCAAAUAAGAUUUCAAAGAAAUAAAUUAAAAUUAGGGUUUCAUUUGGUAUUGAAGAGCUGUGUUUUAUAUGAUUACAUUUCUAUUUACUGUUUGAAAAUUAAUUUAUUACUUCUAUCCAUUUUCAAUCAAUGUUUUACAAAAGUAAUGCAAAUUUUUAAAGACUAAAACUGCUCUAGUCUUUUCCUUUUCAGAAUUUACUUAUUUUUACUUCACAAAAAUGAAAACCAUGGUAUGCAAUUGGGAGGCUUAAUUUAAUUUCUAUCUUAAAAGAAUGUAAAAAAAAAACAAUUUGUAUGCUCUCAUGGAAGUAACAUAUAUACUAUGUAUUUGCUGAAAAUAUUGAGUCACUAGUUAGUUUAUCGAUUUAUUUAGGAAAGAAAUCUUAUUAAAUUGUAACACUAAAUUCUAAAAUAGAGAUUAAAUAAUUACAAAUUUUAAAGAAUAGUAACUAAAUUUUUCUAUAGUAAAGAUCAGGGACUAUGGAUUAAAUCGUGAUAAAAUAAAGUAUAAAAACUAAAUUGCUAUAUUAUUGUAUAAGAACUAAGUUAUGUACUGGGAUUUUAAUAUAUUCAGCAGCCAACCUAUAUUUACAUACAUAGUUUAACAGAAUAAAAUAUAGAUAGGAUAGAAAAAUAGAAAAUUUAUUGUAAUGGGAAGAAGUAUUGUUCAAAAUAGUAACAUGUAUCGCUUUAGUAAAAUGGUGCCUAAAAUGGAUUAUCAUCAACUCCCAAUAUGUUGAUUUUAAACUGUGCAGGCAAGAAUUCAUUUAUGUGGCUUGGUCCCAUACCAAGAGUGCACAUAAUGGACCCUGAACAACUCAAAACUGUGUUCUCAUUCUACAAUGAUUUCCAAAAGCCAACUAUGAAUCCCUUUACCAAGUUGCUUGUACAAGGAAUUGUAAAUCUUGAUGGAGAAAAAUGGGUCAAACACAGAAAGAUAAUCAACCCUGCAUUUCAUUUAGAAAAGCUCAAGGUAUCUAUAGCUUUUUCUAAAAGUGAAAGAGAUGACUAUUUCAGUUUUUUUUUUCUUUCAAAAUACACUUUUAUUAUUAUCUAUAGUUCCUAAGAAACAAGAAAUGCAAUAAGAAAACGAAAAAAAGUUAUCAAACGAAGUACCUAAUUCUAAGUUCUCACACAUACCUUUACAUUGGCUCGUAGGAUAUGGUACCAGCAUUCUAUCACAGUUGUAACGAGAUGGUUAGCAAGUGGGAAAGCAUGGUCUCUAAAGAGGGAUCUUGUGAGUUAGAUGUAAUGCCUUAUCUAAAAAAUAUGGCUUCUGAUGUGAUUUCUCGGACUGCAUUUGGGAGCAGCUAUGAGAAAGGAAAAAAGAUCUUCAAGCUUCAAACUGAACUAACUAAUUUUGUGAUUCAAACUACCUUAGGGAUAUAUAUUCCUGGAUGGAGGUAAAAACACUAUUUAUAUCCAACAUGAUUGUAUAUACAUCUAUUGUGAAAUAAUUCAUGUCAUGAUUAUUAUUUUUUGUGCAGAUUUCUACCCACAAAGUUAAACAGAAAAAUGAAAGAGAUAAGCAAAGAGAUAACAACUUUGAUAUUGGGUAUUAUGGAUGAAAGAGAAAAGUCUAUGAAAGCAGGUGAAGCAAUACAAACUGAUCUAUUAAGCAUUCUCAUGGAAUCCAAUAUGAAUGAAAUUAAACAACAUGGAAACAAAAAAGACAUUGGAAUGAGCAUAGAAGAUGUUAUUGAAGAAUGCAAGCUUUUCUAUAUUGCUGGCCAAGAAACUACAGCAACAUUACUAGUCUGGACGAUGAUAUUGUUGAGUUCAUACUCAGAAUGGCAAGAGCGUGCAAGAGCAGAAGUCUUUGAGAUCUUUGGUAACAAGCAACCAAAUUAUGAUGGUUUAAAUAGACUAAAAGUUGUAAGUGUGAUAUCAUUCUCCAACGUUUACUCUCUAUUAAUCUUUUUUUUUUCAUUUUGAUUUCAUCUCAUAUGUGAAAUUUAAAUGCCCAUCUUCUAGUAUAAAACAAUCACAUGAGCAAGUUUUGGAGGUAUGAGUGAAUAUUCUUGGAAUGUUUUCUAACUAAAUCUCAAUCAAGCUUAUUGUCUUUAGAAGUUGAAGAGUAUAAAGGCUACGUGAUAAUUAAACUUGACAUCUAAGAAGCACAAACAUUUUAAUUUAACUAGGGUGUUUGUGUGUCAGACACUUAAGACACUCUAAUAGGUUUCAAACACCUUGUUAGUAUAAUAGAUUUAUGUUAGAAAACUAGUUGUACAGUGUCAAACAAGUCCAACAUUUAUUUAUAUGCAACCAAUGAUGAUUGGUAUACUAAAUAAUUUAUAAGCAUAUAAAUGAAGGACUUCUUUGACCUUGAAGUUUUUUUCUUGUAUAAAACUGGAUUAAACAUGUCCUUAUAAUGCCCAUGUCCUCAUUUAUAACAGUGGCCACUAUGUGGUCUCGUGUCGUGUCAUAUUCAUAUAUUGUAUUUGUAUAUGUGUUUCUUAGCAAGAUAAGUUGUAAAAGAGUGACACAUUGGCAUGUGACUUUUGAGAAUAAUGUGUCCUAAAAAGGUAUGUACAUGACAAGUGGCUUUUGCAAUGGUGCAGGUAACUAUGAUCUUCAAUGAGGUCCUCAGGUUAUACCCACCAGGGAGUCUGUUUGUUCGCAUUGUUAGGAAAGAAACAAGACUUGGAAAUUUGACUUUACCAGGAGGAGUAAUGUUAGGCUUACCAAUUGUUCUUAUCCAACGUGACCCUGAGUUAUGGGGAGAAGAUGCACAUGAAUUCAAUCCAGAGAGAUUUUCUGGAGGAGUUUCUAAAGCAACAAAAAAUCCAAGUGCUUUUAUACCAUUUGGAUGGGGUCCUAGAAUAUGCAUAGGACAAACCUUUGCUAUGAUUGAAGCAAAAAUGGCAUUAUCAAUGAUUCUACAACGUUUCUCAUUUGAGCUUUCGCCAUCGUACACACACUCUCCCAUUGCCAGUUUAACAACACAACCUCAACAUGGAGCUCAUAUCAUACUACACAAACUCUAGCUACCCUCUUAAAAUAUAUAUUAUUAGCUUGCAAAUUAUAAAAAGGCUAGGAAAGUACUCUGCUGCUUUGUCUAUGUAUAAUUUCAAAUCCUUUGUGAAAAAGAUACCUACACAAGGAAUUGAUAUCCUUUCAACUAGACACCUUUUCACUGCUACCCAGCACCUAAAUAAUAAACAGUUUUCAGGCUUGGGAUGUGAUUAAUGCUUGUUAUUGCACCAUUUUCUACUAAUAUUCACAAACUUUUCACCAUUUGAAAGGAAACUCAAUAUCCCUAGUCAAAUUUAUGCACUACAACUUUUGAAAACUAACCUUUCUUUCUCAUUAGUCCCCCUCAACAGCAUUCUACCAUAAAAUAUUCCAUACAUAAAACAAAAUGAUCAAAAUGAGAUGAUGAGACUGUAAACACCAAUUGUAAUACCCAAACACAGAAAUUCAAGAAGAGAAGUCUGUAAUUCUUGGAAACAUCUAACUAAAAUAACAUUAUUAGUUCAGACUAUAGUUUUGUUUGAUUAGAGUUCAUACAAAAGUACAUAAAUAAAAAUGGUCAAAAUCUAAAUGGUUGCGUUGCAUAUAUAAAUGACAACACAACAUGACAUAGAGGUAACUAAGAUUUGUAAAUGAGAUAAUUCUUAGACCAAUGGAUCAAGUCGUGCAAAAUGAAACAAAACUUAACCAACUAUUUUACCUAAACUGAUUGGGAUUUAUGGGGUGAGGGGCACAUGAGUUUACCAAAAAAAAUUAGAUAAAAGUUUAGUGAUAAUAAUCACUAAUACUUCUAACUAUAAAUAUUUAAAAAUGGAGUGAUUGAUAAUUAAAAUUAACCAAAAAAUUAGAAAAGGUAACUGAAUAAUAAAUUACAAACUCUAAAUAGAAAAUUUUGAGACCAAUCACAAAUUGUCACAUCAUUUACUAAAUUAAUGAUGAAAAAUACAAAUAUUUAAAUUUGAAACUAAUUAAAAAAUUGACAGGUGUCCUAAAUUAAAAUUGAAAACAUAAAUGAGUCAAUUCUAAUGAUGUCACAUGUUUUCAUUAUGACCGUUGGAUCAAGUUAAUUAUUUUGGUUCAAUUAAAUAUUAUGUACUUGAGCUAAGUUCAAAUGAGCCCAAAAGUAAGCUUAAUUUAGCUCGAAUACUAAAUAUGACCCAUAUCCAUAUUCAUGUGGUUAAGUCCAUAGGUCUAGUCCAUAGACCAACUAGACUCAACCCAUAAAGUUCAUCAAAGAACUCUAUAAAAAGAGGAGUUCUCCUCAUUUGUAAGAAGUUGAUCACCCUUGAAGAUUGAAGCUAUUUUGAAGAUACAAGAUAUCUUCCAAGACUCCAACUUCAACAAGCUCUCUUCCAAUACUCCAAAGAAUUUACCCAAGAGCUAGAAGACUCCCUAGCUUCUGAAGUCGACCGACCUCGAAGAUUAAAGCUCAUUUGAAGAUACAAGAUCUCUCUUCCAACACUCCAACUUCCCUCGAAGAUUAAAGCUCCUUUGAGUUUUCUUCUAAGACUCCAACUUCUCCAACUUCAAGAACAUCACGUGCUUUGCUUCCUCCAAAUCAAGCGUAGACGUUCAAUCGAGAGAGAAUCAAAUGAUCAAAUUCUAGCAAUCGAACCACAUCGCAUCAAAUCAACAAAACUAUAACAUCAACUUAAGUUCAACUCCACAAAUCAAAUUUCUUCAAAAAUCUUGUGCGAACAAAUUGGCAUGUCCAGUAAGACCUCUCUAUUUCUCAUCUCUCUCUCGCAUCAAAUCAACACAAGCACAACAUCAACUCAAGUUCAACUCCACGAAUCAAAUUUCUUCGAAAAUCUCGUGCGAACAAAUCUACAUACCUAAACCCAUGGACUCAACCACAUGGAUUUUGGUCAUAUUUAGCAUUUGGGCUCAAGUAAUCUUAUUUUUGGGCUCAAUUGAACUUAGCCCAAGUAAACAAUAUUUAAUUGAAUCAAAACAAUUAACUUAAUCUAACGGUUAGGAUGAAAACAUGUGACAUCAUCAUAAUUGGCCAAUUUAUGUUUUCAAUUUUAAUUUGGGACGCAUGUCAAUUUUUUUAAUCAGUCUCAAAUUCAAUUAUUUCUACUUUUCAUCGUUAAUUUAGUAAAUGAUGUGACAAUUUGCGAUUGGUCUAAAAAUUUCCUAUUCAACCGCUGAAAAUGGAACGAAGCAUGAGCUUUCCACACCGAUGACCAAUGCCCAUUGCCCGUUCUUCUUUUUACCAAAUAGGCCAUUAAUAAUAAAAAUAUCUUUUUAACUUUUCUCAUAAGAUAAAGAAAAGUGAACAAAUUAAAAAAAACACACAACAAUCAAAAUUAAACUGGAAUUUCUUCUAUGAUGGAUAAAUCUUCAAACCAAAUUGUUUGUGUGUUUAAUCUUUAAACACAUUAAAUUAAGUAAGCUCAUGUACAACAAAAUUAAAGACACUCCUAACAAAGGAAGUAGUCUAAUGCAAUACAACGAGAAUGAAUCUCACUAUAAUAAUAUCCUUAGACACAACGAGGAAUGAUGAAUAAAAUUUUGUAGUUUUACAACGAUGAUUGAUGACAUAUUUGUUAAAAGUAUAUGCAUCUACAAAAGAGAAAACACAACGUCCAAGAGACGAAUACAAAUUUUGUCCAACUUUCACUUCUGUGUUCGAAAUAUUAUUUUAAUUUUCAAUUUUAUGUUAAGUUAGUCUCUCAUAUAUCUCUCCUUCCAAAAAAACAAAAGUAAUUUAUAUAUUUUGGAAGUUUAAACCAAUUUCCAUCUAUGGGAAUUGAAAUUAAACAGUAUGCCGGCACACAUUCAUUUUUCUUUCUUUUCAAUAAAAACAAAAAUGAUGGUGAGGAUUACAAUGCAACAUAACAACUCUUUUUAGUUCAACAACAUACCAAUUAUUGUUUCACUUCAAUCUAUUCUUUUUCUUUUUGACAACACAUCAAUUGUUUUUUACAACAUUACGAAAGUAUCAUUCAAAUAUAAAUUACUGAUCAAUUCUUACUUUAUAUAUAUAUAUAUAUAUAUUAUAUAGAAAAAAAGAGUCAAGUAUUAUUUUCUAUGGCACAAAUGUUUUUCUUUUUAAAUAAUUCUUUAUUUUUAUAAUCAUUAAAUUGUAUAUAUAUAUAUAUAUAUUAUUGUGAUAAGAAUUGCAUAGAUUGUGGGGUUGUAAAUGGAGAAGAGAGAAGAGAAGUAAGAGAACUGAAAACCCCAAAGUUCAGUUAAUUGAGAUUUACAAAGAUGUCGUAUGUUGUAGAUACGAUUUCAAAUCGCAUAGUAAUGAUAAUCAGUUUCGUUUUAUUGUUAGUAUUAUUAAUAUUGGGAUGGAAAAUAGUUGAUUGGAUUUGGUUCCGCCCGAAGAAACUAGAGAAGCUUUUAAGACGGCAAGGAUUCACCGGAAAUUCAUACCGGAUUCUCCACGGCGACUUGAAGGAGAGUGCCGCCAUGAGAAAGGAAGCAAUGUCCAAGCCCAUGAACUUCUCCAAUCAUAUUGCUCCACGUGUCAUUCCCUCUGUCUAUCAUACCAUCCAAAUUUAUGGUAAACACUUUAUCCCCAACAUUUCCUUCUCAUCCUUUUCUUCUUCUUCAAAUAAGAUUUAAAGAAAUAAAUAAAAAUUAGGGUUUGAUUUAUUUUAUUACAUUUUUGUUUUGUGUUUGAAAAUUAAUUUUAUAAACUUUUAUUAUUUCAUCUCUAUUUUCAAUCAAUCCUUUACAAAACCAUGUAAAUUUUUAAACACUAAAACUACCCUACUUUUUUUCCUUCUUAGAAUAAUUUACUUAUUUUUACUUGAGAAAAAUUAAAACGUGUAAGCAAAUGGAAGGCUUAAUUUAAUUUAAUUUAAUUUAAUUUAAUUUUGUUUUUUUAAAAGAAAAUUAAAACAAUAAAACACAUAUUCCAAGUAACAAUUUGAAUAUUUGGAAAGAUAUAAUUUCAAUUUUAUAACAAUUUAGUCAUAAUUGAAAUCUAUCUUCAACUUUUAUUAUUUUAUGAGGUAUAAUAUACUAUGUAUUUGGUAAAAAUACCUUGUCACUUAUUAGUUUUUCGGCUUAUUAAUGAAAGAAAUUUUAUUCAAUUGUAACACUAAAUUCUAGUAUAGAAUUUAAAUAAUUACAAAUUUUAUAGGAUAAUAACUAAAUUUUUAUAUAGGAACUAAAUUGCUAUAUUGUUGUAAUAGCUCCAAGAAGUAAAAGUAUAUAUAUCAAUGGUCCUCGAAGUUAUGUUUACUGAAUUUCUACACAAAUUAGGAUUCUAAUAUAUUCAGCAGUCAACCUAAUAUAUACAUAGUUUAACAGAUUAAAAUAGAGAUCAUUGGAUAAAAAAAUUGAAAAAUUAUUUUAAAGGGUAGAAGUGUUCAAAAUAUUUUACAUCUAUCACUUCAGUAAAACUAUGCCUAAAAUGGAUUAUCAAGUCCCAAUAUAUAUGUUGAUUUUGAACUGUGCAGGCAAGAAUUCAUUUAUGUGGCUUGGUCCCAUGCCAAGAGUGCACAUAAUGGACCCUGAACAAAUCAAAACUGUGUUCUCAUUCAUCAAUGAUUUUCAAAAGCCAACUAUGAAUCCCCUUACCAGGUUGCUCGUACAAGGAAUUGCAAAUCUUGAAGGAGAAAAAUGGGCCAAACACAGAAAGAUAAUCAACCCUGCAUUUCAUUUAGAAAAGCUUAAGGUAUCUAUAUCUUUUUGUAAGAGUGAGAGAGAUUACUAUUUCUACUUCUUCUCUUCGGGUUUGAUAACCAUUUUGGUUUUUUUUUUCAAAAUACAUUUUUAUUAUUAUCUCUACUUCCUAAGAAACAAGAAAUAUAAUAGAAAGCGAAAAAAGUUAUCAAACGAAGCACAAAAUUUCAAGUUCUCACGCAUACGUUUACGUUGGCUUGUAGGAUAUGGUACCAGCAUUCUAUCACAGUUGUAACGAGAUGGUUAGCAAGUGGGAAAGUAUGGUCUCUAGAGAGGGAUCAUGUGAGUUAGAUGUAAUGCCUUGUCUUAAAAAUAUGGCUUCUGAUGUGAUUUCUCGAACUGCAUUUGGGAGUAGCUAUGAGAAAGGAAAAAAGAUCUUCAAGCUUCAAACUGAACUAGGUAAUUUGGUGAUUCAAGCUAGCUUAGGGAUAUAUAUUCCAGGAUGGAGGUAAAAACACUAUCCAUCUACAACAUGAUUAUAUAUACAUCUAUUGUGAAAGAAUUCAUAUCAUGAUUAAUAUUUUUUGUGCAGUUUUCUACCCACAAAGUCGAACAGGAAAAUGAAAGAAAUAAGUAAAGAGAUAACAACUUUGAUAUUGGGUAUUAUGAAUGAAAGGGAAAAGUCUAUGAAUGCAGGCGAAGCAAUACAAACUGAUCUGUUAAGCAUUCUCAUGGAAUCCAAUAUGAAUGAAAUUAAACAACAUGGAAACAAUAAGGACAUUGGAAUGAGCAUAGAAGAAGUUAUUGAAGAAUGCAAGCUUUUCUAUAUUGCUGGCCAAGAAACUACAGCAACGUUACUAGUCUGGACGAUGGUAUUGUUGAGUUCGUACUCAGAAUGGCAAGAGCGUGCAAGAGCAGAAGUCUUUGAGAUCUUUGGUAACAAGAAACCAAAUUAUGAUGGUUUAAAUAGACUAAAAGUUGUAAGUGUGAUAACUUUCUCCAACAUUUACUCUCUAUUAAUCUAUUUUUCUUAUUAAUCUAUUUUUCUCAUUUUGAUUUCAUCUCAUAUGUGAAAUUUAAAUGCCCAUCUUCUAAUAUAAAACAAUCACAUAAGCAAAUCUUGGAGGUAUGAGUAAAUAUUCAUGAAAUGUCUUCUAACUAAAUCUCAAUCAAGCUUAUUGCCUCUAGAUAUCAUGGAAGUUGAAAAAAAGAUAAAGGCUACAUGAUAAACUUGACAUCUAAAAAGCACAAACAUUUUAAUUUGACUUAAGGUAGACAUGUGUAAAAUUCUAUUCAACGUGUCUUCAUAAUGUUCAUUAUAUAACAGUGACCCCUCUAUUCAUAUAUUGUAUUUGUAUCUAUGUUUCUUAGCAAGACAAGUUGUAAGAGAGUGCAUGACACAUUGACAUGUGACUUUUGGGAAUGUGUCCUAAAAUUAUAUGUACAUGACAAGUGGCUUUUGCAAUGGUGCAGGUAACUAUGAUCUUCAAUGAAGUCCUCAGGUUAUAUCCACCAGUGAGUAUAUUUGGUCGCAUUGUUAGGAAAGAAACAAAACUUGGAAAUUUAACUUUACCAAAAGGAGUAAUGUUAGGCUUACCAAUUGUUCUUAUCCAACGUGACCCUGAAUUAUGGGGAGAAGAUGCACAUGAAUUCAACCCAGAGAGAUUUUCUGAAGGAGUUUCUAAAGCAACAAAAAAUCCAUGUGCUUUUAUACCAUUUGGAUGGGGCCCUAGGAUAUGCAUAGGACUAAACUUCACCAUGAUUGAAGCAAAAAUGACAUUGUCAAUGAUUCUACAACGCUUCUCAUUUGAGCUUUCCCCAUCAUAUACACACAGUCCUAGUGCAAGUUUAACAACACAGCCUCAACAUGGAGCUCACAUCAUACUACACAAACUGUAAUAAUUACCUUCUUAAACUAUGUAUUAGCUUGCACAAUUAUCAUAAUUAAGACUAGGAAUGUUCUCUGCUUUGCUUAUAACUUCUAAUAUAUCAUUUGAGAAAAUUUUAGUUACACAUGUUCUUUAUAUUUUCCUUUCAACUAAAUUUUCUUUUUCAUUACUCACUGGCUCGUAAAUAAACAGUUUUCAAGUUAAUGGCAUCUACAUUUUUUUCAACUUGGGAUGAUUAAUCCUUAUAAUUGUACCAUUUUUUGUUUAAUGUGAAGGAAAAAUCUCAUCAGUCAUAAAUAAUAAGUUCGUUAUUCAAAAUAGUGAAAUUCACGCAUUGAAAACUAACUUUUUUUUUUCUCAACGUCAUUUUUUCAAAUGGUUUGUAUGCAAUGAAUUUCUCAGCAGCAUUCUAUCUAACCUUCAACCAUAAAAAUAUACAACACAACAAAGGUUCAAAAUGAGAUUUUGAAACUCUACCCACCAAAUGUAAUACUCAUUGCAUAUGAAACUCUACCCACCAAUUCAAGAAGAGGCUGUAAUUCUUGGAAACAACAUGCAACUACAACUACAUUAUAUUUGGUAAGAGCAAACAAGAAUAGAGAUCAUGGAAGUCUUUGUAACUAGUGGCACUUACUCUAGUUUCUAACGUUUUAAUCUAUUCAAGUCCACGUACUUAAUUUGGCUGAUUUUCAUAAAGAUAACACACAUAAAUGGAAGAUAAAUUAGGAUUUGAAAAUGCUCAAAAAAGUAUAUUCUUUAACGUUUUAAAAGUGAUUAUAUACUUCAAUACUAUCCCUAAAAUUGCUACAAACCUAAAUAAAUAAUAUUCACCACACCACAAUUAUGAUAGGAUUAAACUCAUGGUCUAUGAAAUAAAUAUGUUGAAAGUGGGUUAAGGAACACAAUUAGGUACGACUUAUUAAUAAUUCUAUUAAGUUUCUGUUUUCCUUUCUUUGAAUUUAUGCUAAUGGUUUGAUUCUAUGUUACUGGAGCAUGAAGUUUGAUAAACAAAAUGAUUAAGUAUUGAAUAGGUACACUGUGGAAACAAAAACAAAAAUAAGAAACCAUCAAAAUGACACAAUUUAAGGAAACAUAAACCCAACAAAUAACCAACCCAGAAAAUUAGUACAUUUCAAUAGAUCAAAUGCUAAAAGUAGCUUUAUACUACUCUAACCUUCUUCAAAUGCUAUCAAGAAAAGAACAUAAGGGACAAAACAACUUCUUCUUUGAUGCCCUAAACAUAAGUUCUCUACAAAUAAAAAUAAAUUUACAUUACAUUAUAUCAAUAGAGAAAGAAAACCUCCCAAUCAACAAAAAAGAAAAAAAAAAACAAUCAAAACGUAUAAAUAAAAAUCUCUACAUCUCAUGAGCUUAAGAAAAAGUAUCAAGUAAAUUAUAAGCAGAAAGUUAGAAUGAAAUCAAUACCAAUCCAGCCCUAAACAACAUCCCUGCAAAAGUUGAAUGAAAGAGAUUUUUGCUUAAUACUUAUUAUAUUUUCUUGUUUCCAAAUAUGUUUAGUCAAAACUCAGAAAUCACCAUGAUUUUUCUAGUAAUUAGAGGGAGUUUCUCAAAACAAAGCUAGAAAAAGCAACAACUUCCAUGGAAAUUUGAAAGGGAGCAUUGGAUUGGAAGAGAUAUUCUAUUAUCUAGUGAAAGCAUAGGAAUCAAGAUAUUCUACACACAUAUAUGAUGUUGUUAUUGUGGAUAGUAUAAAUGGGUGUAAAAGGAGUAUAACUCUCAAACUUAAUUCUUUGAUUAUCACGAUUCCAUCUCUGUUUGGUCUCUGGAUCUCAUCGUCGGCUAACUCAUCACCUUCAGCCAUGGGUUCUUCAUCCAAAUUUGUUUCUUUUCACGCUGAAUUUUAUAUUUUAUAUUUGGUUCUUCAGCCAUGGGUUCUUCAUACAUCCUGUGGAUUAGCACGCCCUCACUUACUGUGUUCAUAUAUUAUUUCUGAUCUUGUUUCUAUUAGGAAGUUAGUUGUGGACUUUUGAAACUUUGUUUGGGCAGUUGUGUGUGGCUAAAUUUCUUAGAUGGAGAAACAUGAAGUUGCUCGUCUCAUCAGCACCAUUCUUGAUGGAACAAAUUAUAUUAUUUGGACCCACCAAAUGAGGAGUUUUUUGAUAGGUCGAAAGUUAUGGAGUUUCUUGCCCAUCAAGGUACUCUAAUUCAACGCUCAUGUCCUCACACAUCUCAGCAAAAUAGAAGAGUUGAACGCAAACAUCGUCACAUUCUUGACUCUGUUCGCGCUCAGCUUCUAUCUGCUGCUUAUCCAAAAAAAUUCUGGGGCGAGGUUGCCCUCACCUCUGUCUAUAUCUUUAAUCGUCUUUCUUCAAAAGUCACUCACAAUGUUUCCCCAUUUGAACGACUAUACGGUACUUCCCCCUCUUACUUCAAUCUCAAGAUUUUUUGUUGUGCAUGUUUCGUAUUAUUACAUCCUCAUGAACAUACCAAACUUGAACCACGUGCACGUCUAUGUUGCUUCUUGGGUUAUGGUACUGAACAUAAAGGAUUUCGUUGUUGGGACCUCAUCUCUCAACGAUUACGUAUAUCUCGUCACGUUACCUUUUGGGAACAUCCUCUGUUUUCUAGUCUCUCUUCAUUCCAUGAAUUUCUUUCAAGUCCUCACCCAUUCUUCAUCGAUCCUUCUAUUGACCUCUUUCCCACACUUGACUCGCCGUCUGACACUACAUCACAUUGUGGGUAAAAUGAAAGCAUUUGAAGUUAAUAUACUGUACAAAUACAAAUAAUAGAAAUAAUGGUUGAGAUUCACCGGUGAGAUCAGCGAUGCAAGGGGUGUUGGGUGGUGGCGUCGGCUGAAGGAGAGAAAUAGGAGGAUUUCUGGCGUGUUGUUCCCGACGUGCGUGAGAGAGGGAGAGAGAUGGUUAGCGGAGGGGAGGAAAAAUCGAGAAUGAGGGGUGACGCGUGGAUCUUCCAUAAAGAAGAAGAAAAAAAGAAGAAGAGAAGAAGAAGAAGAAGAUGAGGAGGUAGGGGAAGGGAAAAAUCUUAUUUUAAUAAACUUUUGAUUUAAAAUGAAUUUUAUUUUAAUAAAUUAAAUAAAUUAUUUUUUGUAUCUUUUAUGACACCAAAUAACUGUCACGAAAAGUGAAAUACGAAAAACUUCGUCUUUUCCCCCUAAAAACUCGAAUUUUUAGCUUUCAUGACAGUUUUUUUUUUCUCCUUUCAAUUUGGGAUGUAUACAACUGUCAUAGUAGGUAGUUUUUCUUGUAGUGGUUGUAUAUAUAUAAUUGAGUUGAAUUGGAUUAAUGAUAUUUGUUGCAUUUAUUUAUGAACUAAAAAAAUUGUAUUGGGUAUUUUUGUUUGCUUAACUAUUUAUGUAACUAUUCAUUAUCCAUUAUGCUUAAUACCCGUAUAGUCAUGUGUCACACUCCUUCAAAACACAUGACAUGUAAUUUACUCCAUACUUACCAAAUUGUUUAUAGAUAGUGGUAUUUGGUAAAUUUUGAAGAAUACACGUAUCCGUGAAAUGUCCAAAGAAACAGAAUGUAGAAUUUGUGGAGAUUUUGAGAUUUUCUAAUUUCUAAGAUUUCUUUAAUUUUUAUUUAUUUAGUUCAUUUAUUUAUUUUAAUAUUAUAUUUUCUCAAUUUUUGUGUUCCAGUUGUUUCUUAUUUAAAUACAACAAAAAUAGAUAUAUUAGAAUUGAAAUUGCUUAAAUAAAACUAUAAUAUGUAUUUGCUUUAAUAUGAAUUUUAGAAGUAAAAGUAUUAUUUGAUAUUUGAUGUUGUUAAAAAAAUAAGAUUAGGUUUUCAAUUUAGUUGUCGAAAAUCAUACCAAUAUGAGCUUAGUUCAACUGGCACAUGCAUCUUCUUGUGGACAAGAGGUCCCGAAUUCAAAUCCUCAUCCCAGCAUUUAUUAUAAUACAUUUGUAAAAAAGAAAAUGAUAUCUUUCAAUAAUUCAAUUAAUGAUUGUCCUAUGUAAUUUUGACGAAUUCAAAAGGUUACGUAAAUGUAAUUUUAUUUUAAAUUAAUGAUUGUCCUAUAUAAUUAAUGAUUGUCCUAUAUUAGAGUUAUGUGUAAUAUACAUAUAGCCAUGUGUCAUUGAAGAAGUUGAGAGUCCCACAUAUGAAAAACUAAGGAGACUCAUAUUCUAUAUAACAUAGAUAUGUUAGAUUCAUAUUCCAUAUAACAUAGAUGAGUUACUUCUUUUAAGUGACUACGUAAUCUACCGUUAUUUUGUAAGUUUUGAAGAAUACAGAUAUGGGUGAAAUGUAAAAAAAGAAAAUGGAAGAAUUUCCUAAUUCAAAGUUUUCUUUUAAUUUUUAUUUUCUUUCUUUAUUAUUAUUUAUUUAUUUAUUUAUUUUAAUAUUUUAUUUUUUCAACUUUCCUAUUUAUUGCGCCUUAUUUUUACCCCAAGAAACUAUUGCUUAAAUAAAACUACCAUAUAUAUUUGCUUUAAUAUGAAUUUUAGAAGGAAAAGUAGUAUUUGAUAUUUCAUAUUAUGUUAAAAUACUAUAACUAUCCAAAUAUUAAUGGGGUGGACAAUAAUAAUAUAUCUUUCAAUAGUUCAAUUAAUCAUUGUAAUUAUGACAAAUUAAAAAGUUUACGUAAAAGAUAAUGAAUACUUUAAUGACAAAUUAAAAAGUUUACGUAAAUGAUAAUGAACACUUAAAUGACAAAUUAAAAAGUCUACUUAAACGAUAAUGAACACUUCAAUCAAUUUUUCUUCCACCUCAACAAUAAAUAUAUAUAUUUCAACUCACCAAUAUCUUACUGUUAAUUUUGCAUAUGCUCAUUUUAAAUAGUUGUAAAAAAUUUAUUUGUUUUUCUUUUAAACUGACUUAAUUUCUAAAUUAGAUAUUUUAGAAUGUAUUCCAUACACAUUUGUAAUAAUAAUCAUUUUGAAAGAAGUUGUACUUAGGCUAUAUAACUUUAAAGUAAGGUGUUAAAAGAUUAAUACAUGUUUUUCUUUUCUUUUUGUUUUUUAUAGUUUAACAAAUAAAAUAAAAGUAACGAAGAUCAUUUCAACUUAAACAAACAAAAUAUAUAUCAAUAAUUGUUUAGUUAGGUUGAGAUUUGGCUUUUAAAUCAACUAAUUAGUAUAUUAGAAAAGCAAUAAAAUUAUUAUAAUUUAAGUUCAUAUUUAGGAGAUGAUUUAACUUAAGGUUUUAUAAAUAUAUGAGAAUAAAAAAUGUGUUUGUAUUUAAUUUAUGACAUUAAGAAUCAAAUAUAGAUUAUUUGAUAAAUAAAUAAUAAAUAUGAAUCUAAUAUAUUGAUAAAAGUUGAGUAAUUAAGAACCACUAAUAGUUUUAACUAUAAUUAUUCAAAAAUCAAAUAAUUAAUAAUCAAAAUUAACCAAAUAUCAAAUGUCCAAAAAACAAAGUAAUUAUCCAAUUAAUAUAUUUUAAUGAAAGUGAUACUAAAUAAUAAAUUAUGCAUGAAAAUGUUAUCAAAUUUUCCUAAGAGUUAAGUAAUGUGGAUGUUGUUUUUUUCUUUCUUUUUUUUUUUUUUUGUAUGAUAAUAUCAUCAUCUUUGACAUAAAUAAAUGAUAUUUUAUUUAAAUUCUGUGAGAUCACUUUGACAAAUUGUAUGCAAUAAUAAAGUAUUAAAUCACUCAAAUUUAAUUUUCAUUAAUUAAUUUUAAAUAGUUAAUUUAUUAUUUUAAAUUAAUAUUCUUAAACAGUAUAACUUUAUAUAUUAUAUUCAUAGAAAAGAAUAACUUUAUGAAACAAAUUUAUAACAAUAACAUAAAUAAUAGAAGAUGUAAGAAAAUAAAUAUGUUUAAAAGAUAAACAUAAUAAUAUGUCCCCGAAUACAAACUAUAUAAUAUAAUAAUCUACUCUAUCUUUGUUCGUCUUCUAAAUUAGAAAAAAUAUAUAUAUAUUUCUAAAUAAGAAGAAAAUGUUAGUAAGACAAUUAAAAAGUUAAUUCAAAUAGAUGAAAAUGGGACGAAACAUAAGAUCUAAUAAUAGAACUUUAAACAAAUUAAUUUCGAUAUAUUGUGAUUGAAAUUAAAUAGUGUUGUAUUUUCAAUAAAACAAAAAUGAGGGUGAGGAUUACAAUCUAACAUUUCAACUUGCUUUUUGAGUGAGAGAGAUUCAAAUUAAUCUAUAACUUUGCAAUCUUAAAAUAUGUGUUAAAGUCACUGCAAUAACAUUAAUAUUAAAGUGACAUAUAAAUAGGAUUAAAUGAGUAAAGAAAAGACUUUUAAAUUGAGAAGAAAAAAAAAAAAAGAUGAACACACGAAUUAAGUCGAGAAAAUUUUUUUCUUAAAUUGUAUUCUCAUUUUUUUAAAAAAAAAUUCUCAAACAUGUCAUGUGAUCUUUCGAGAAAUCUUAAACCAUUUAAAAUUAUUGAUUUAUUCUUUAGUUUUAUAUAUAUAUAUAUAUAUAAAGUAAAGUAUUAUUUGAUCCUAAAGUUUGAUUUAAAUCAUAUUUAUGUCACUGAAUUUUCAAAUUGAAUAAGUUUACCAAAGUUUGGUGUUCAUACCACUGUUAGGGUAAUCUCAUUUUCUAUGGCACACAUUUUUUCUUCUUAAAAAAAUCUUUAUUUUUAUAAUCAUUAAAUUUAAAAGGAAAAAAUCAAUAUAUACUUUUAUUGUUUUUCUAUAUGUAUAUAUAUGUAUUGUGAUAACAAUUGGAAAGACUGUGGAGUUAUAAAGAGAGGAGAGAAACUUAAGAGAACUCAAUACCCAAUUUGAUUGUUAUUGAGAUUUAGAAAGAUGUGGUAUGUUCCCCAUAUGAUUUCAACUCCCAUAGUGAUCAUAACAAGUUUGGUUUUAUUGUUAUUAUUAUUCUUGGGAUGGAAAUUAGCUGAUUGGAUUUGGUUCGGGCCGAGGAGAUUAGAGCAGCUUUUAAGACGGCAAGGGUUCACCGGAAAUUCAUACAAGAUUCUUCACGGCGACAUGAAGGAGAGUGCUGCCAUGAGAAAGGAAGCACUGUCCAAGCCCAUGAAAUUCUCCAAUCAUAUUGCUCCACGAGUCAUUCCAUCUGUCUAUCAUACCAUCCAACGUUAUGGUAACACUUUAUCCCCUACUUUUCCUUCUCAUCCUUUUCUUCUUCUUCUUCUUUAUCUUUUUCUUCAAAGAAAUAAAUAGAAAUCAGGGUUUGAUUUGGUAUUGAAGGGCUGUGUUUUAUAUGAUUAGAUAAUUUCUAUUUAUUGUUUGAAAAUUAAUUUUAUAAACAUUUAUUUCAUCUCUGUAUGUUGUUCUAUUAUCAACUAUCUGUUUUCAAAAACAAUGCAAAUUUUUAAAGAUUUUACCAUAAAUACUGGUGUUAUUGGGAGGCUUAAUUUUAUUUUAUUUUUCUUAAAGAAAAAAAAACACUUUUGAUUCUUAUACUACUUUGGUUUUGCUUGUAACGAUUUACUUUCAAUUGUCUAAUAAUUUAAUUCAUCUAAUAUGUCCAUAUUUAUUAUUUUAUGUCUUAGAUAUACUGUGUAUUUGGUAAAGAUAUUGAGUUUAUCGAUUUUUUUUUAUGAAAGAAAUCCUAUUAGAUUGUAACACUAAAUUCUGCACAUAAUUUAAACAAUAAUAACUAGAUUUUUAUACAAGGAUGAUACACAAUGGACUAUCGCAACAAAUAAAAGCUUAAGGGGGCUAAAAAUAUAUAUAUCAAGGAUCCUAAAAGUUAUGAUCAGCAGCCAAAUCGCGGCAAAAAUGGAUAUUUACAUCUAUCACUUUAGUAAAACGGUGCCUAAAAUGGCUCCCAAUAUGUUGAUUUUGAACUGUGCAGGCAAGAAUUCAAUGAUGUGGCUUGGUCCCUUGCCAAGAGUGCACAUAAUGGACCCUGAACAACUCAAAACUGUGUUCUCAUUCUUCAAUGAUUUCCAAAGGCCAACUACGGAUCCCUUUAUCAGGCUUCUUAUACAUGGACUUGUAAGUCUUGAAGGAGAAAAAUGGGUUAAACACAGAAAGAUAAUCAACCCUGCAUUUCAUUUAGAAAAGCUCAAGGUAUCUAUCUCUUUUUGAAGAGUGAAAGAGAAUACGAUUUCUGCUUCUUGUGUUUUUUUUUCUUCAAAAUACAUUUUUAUUAUUAUCUCUAGUUCCUAAAAAAUAAGAAAUAUAAUAGAAAACGAAAAACAUAUAAUUUCAAGUCCUCAUACAUACCUUUACCUUGGCUUACAGGCCAUGGUACCAGCAUUCUACCACAGUUGUAAUGAAAUGGUUAGCAAGUGGGAAAGCAUGGUCUCUAGAGAGGGAUCUUGUGAGUUAGAUGUAAUGCCUUAUCUACAAAAUAUGGCUGCCGAUGUGAUUUCUCGAACUGCUUUUGGGAGUAGCUAUGAGAGAGGAAAAAAGAUCUUCAAGCUACAAACUGAACUAACCAAUUUGGUGAUUCAAGCUAGCUUAGAGACAUAUAUUCCAGGAUGGAGGUAGAAACACUAUCCAUCUUACCACAUAAUUAUAUACAUCUAUUGUGAAAAAUUUCAUAUCAUGAUUUAAUAUUUUGUGCAGAUUUCUACCCACAAAAUCAAACAGGAAAAUAAAAGAGACGAAUAGAGAGAUAACAACUUUAGUAUUGGGCAUUAUAAAUGAAAAGGAAAAGUCUAUGAAAGCAGGUGAAGAAAUACAAACUGAUCUGUUAAGCAUUCUCAUGGAAUCCAAUAUGAAUGAAAUUAAACAUGGAAGAAACAGUAAGGACGUUGGGAUGAGCAUACAGGCUGUUAUUGAAGAAUGCAGGCUUUUCUAUAUUGCUGGCCAAGAAACUACAGCAACAUUACUAAUUUGGACGAUGGUAUUGUUGAGUUCAUACUCAGACUGGCAAGAACGAGCAAGAGCAGAGGUCUUUGAGAUCUUUGGUAACAAGAAACCAGAUUACGAUGGUUUAAAUAGACUAAAAGUUGUAAGUGUGAUAACAUUUCCAACAUUUACUCUCUAUUAAUAUAUUUUUCUCAUUUUUAUUUCAUCUUCUAAUAUAAAACAAUCACAUGAGCAUGUAUUAUACGUGUCCUUAUCAUGCCCAUAUGUCCAAGAUUAUAUAACAGUUAUGUGCCACUAUAUAGGUGUUUUGUCGUGUCAUAUUCAUAUAGUGUAUUUGUAUCUACGUUAGCAAGGCAAGUUGUGCGACUUUUGGGAAUGUGUUAUAAAACGGUAUGUAUUAGCUAGUACAUGACAAUAGACUUUUCCAAUGAUGCAGGUAACUAUGAUUUUCAACGAGGUCCUCAGGUUAUACCCACCAGUGAGUAUGUUAGGUCGCACUACUAGGAAAGAAACAAAACUUGGAAAUAUGACUUUACCAGGAGGAAUAAUGCUGAGCUUACCAAUUAUUCUUAUCCAACGUGACCCAGAGUUAUGGGGAGAAGAUGCACAUGAAUUCAAUCCAGAGAGAUUUUCUGAAGGAGUUUUUAAAGCAACAAAAAAUCCAGGUGCUUUUAUGCCAUUUGGAUGGGGUCCUAGAAUAUGCAUAGGACAAAAUUUUGCCAUGAUUGAAGCAAAAAUGGCAUUAUCAAUGAUCCUACAACACUUCUCAUUUGAGCUUUCGCCAUCAUACACACACACUCCCUUUGCCGCCUUAACAACACAACCUCAACAUGGAGCUCAUAUCAUACUACACAAACUCUAGUGCCUCUUAACCUAUUUAUUAUUAGCUUGCACAUUAUCAGAAGGCUAGGAAAGCACUGUGCUUUGUCUGGUAUAAUUUCAAAUCCUUUGAGAAAAAGAUACCUACUACAAAAGGAAUUGAUAUCCUUUCAACUAGACACCCUUUUCAUUGCCACCCAGCUCCUAAAUAAUAAACAGUUUCAGGCUUGGGAUGUGAUUAAUGCUUGUUAUUGCACCAUUUUCUACUAAUGUUCACAAACUUUUCACCAUCCGAAAAGAUACUC
This 26719-nucleotide long non-coding RNA is filed under the name Cucumis sativus (cucumber). RNAcentral's name for it is "long non-coding RNA (CSAT_LNC001690)". The record is from RNAcentral. Lineage: Eukaryota; Viridiplantae; Streptophyta; Magnoliopsida; Cucurbitales; Cucurbitaceae.